GAAAAAAAAAAAAAAAAAAAAAAAAACGCACACACACGCACACAAAUAAGCCAAACACAACCCAAGUUUUGGUUUUCACUUUGUUCUCUACCUUCUUUUUGUUUUUCUCUUUCUCUUCGCCAUUCCAAAUUUUU
This 134-nucleotide non-coding RNA is filed under the name Platyophrya macrostoma. The record is from RNAcentral. Lineage: Eukaryota; Ciliophora; Colpodea; Cyrtolophosidida; Platyophryidae.